GACGAACGCUGGCGGCGUGCUUAACACAUGCAAGUCGAACGGAAAGGCCCUGCUUGCAGGGUACUCGAGUGGCGAACGGGUGAGUAACACGUGGGUGAUCUGCCCUGCACUUCGGGAUAAGCCUGGGAAACUGGGUCUAAUACCGGAUAGGAGCCAUUUUUAGUGUGAUGGUUGGAAAGUUUUUUCGGUGUAGGAUGAGCUUGCGGCCUAUCAGCUUGUUGGUGGGGUAAUGGCCUACCAAGGCGGCGACGGGUAGCCGGCCUGAGAGGGUGGACGGCCACAUUGGGACUGAGAUACGGCCCAGACUCCUACGGGAGGCAGCAGUGGGGAAUAUUGCACAAUGGGCGCAAGCCUGAUGCAGCGACGCCGCGUGGGGGAUGACGGCCUUCGGGUUGUAAACGCCUUUCGCUAGGGACGAAGCUUUUUGUGACGGUACCUAGAUAAGAAGCACCGGCUAACUACGUG
RNAcentral lists this ribosomal RNA (465 nucleotides) under uncultured bacterium. RNAcentral describes it as "partial 16S ribosomal RNA". It matches the Rfam family "Bacterial small subunit ribosomal RNA", at positions 28 to 507 of the family's 1533-position model. The record is from RNAcentral.